Molecule: RNA transcript, 469 nt
Organism: Cyprinus carpio (common carp)
Lineage: Eukaryota; Metazoa; Chordata; Actinopteri; Cypriniformes; Cyprinidae
Gene name: 40S ribosomal protein S17-like
Exons: 4
Source: RefSeq, a predicted model, not a curated record
AUGGCUGUGUUUCUCCGCAGGGGCCGCGGGCUCAGGACCAAGACGGUGAAGAAGGGCCGCUCGGGUCAUCAUCGAGAAGUACUACACCCGGCCUGGCAGCGACUUCCACACCAACAAGCGCGUGUGCGAGGAGAUCGCCAUCAUCCCCAGCAAGAAGCUGCGCAACAAGAUCGCUGGGUACGUCACACACCUGAUGAAGCGCAUCCAGAGAGGUCCAGUCAGAGGAAUCUCCAUCAAGCUGCAGGAGGAGGAGCGUGAGCGCAGAGACAACUACGUGCCCGAGGUCUCCGCUCUGGACCAGGAGAUCAUCGAGGUCGACACUGACACCAAGGAAAUGCUCAAGCUUCUGGACUUCGGCAGCCUGUCCAAUCUUCAGGUGACCCAGCCUCCGGUCGGCAUGAACUUCAAGACCCCUCGCGGCGUCUAGACAUUUGUAAUAUAUCUCUUAAUAAAACCUGUGGAAAACCAA